This 500-nucleotide ribosomal RNA is filed under the name uncultured bacterium. RNAcentral's name for it is "partial 16S ribosomal RNA". It matches the Rfam family "Bacterial small subunit ribosomal RNA", at positions 30 to 523 of the family's 1533-position model. The record is from RNAcentral.
AUUGAACGCUGGCGGCAUGCCUUACACAUGCAAGUCGAACGGCAGCGCGGACUUCGGUCUGGCGGCGAGUGGCGAACGGGUGAGUAAUACAUCGGAACGUACCCUGUUGUGGGGGAUAACUAGUCGAAAGAUUAGCUAAUACCGCAUACGACCUGAGGGUGAAAGUGGGGGACCGCAAGGCCUAACGCAGCAGGAGCGGCCGAUGUCUGAUUAGCUAGUUGGUGGGGUAAAGGCCCACCACGGCGACGAUCAGUAGCUGGUCUGAGAGGACGAUCAGCCACACUGGGACUGAGACACGGCCCAGACUCCUACGGGAGGCAGCAGUGGGGAAUUUUGGACAAUGGGGGCAACCCUGAUCCAGCAAUGCCGCGUGUGUGAAGAAGGCCUUCGGGUUGUAAAGCACUUUUGUCCGGAAAGAAAUCGCGCUGGUUAAUACCUGGCGUGGAUGACGGUACCGGAAGAAUAAGCACCGGCUAACUACGUGCCAGCCGCCGCAGUAA